CCUACGGGAGGCAGCAGUGGGGAAUAUUGGACAAUGGGGGGAACCCUGAUCCAGCCAUGCCGCGUGUGUGAAGAAGGCCCUCGGGUUGUAAAGCACUUUCAGUGAGGAAGAACGCCUGGUGGUUAAUACCCAUCAGGAAAGACAUCACUCACAGAAGAAGCACCGGCUAACUCCGUGCCAGCAGCCGCGGUAAUACGGAGGGUGCGAGCGUUAAUCGGAAUUACUGGGCGUAAAGCGCGCGUAGGUGGCUUGAUAAGCCGGUUGUGAAAGCCCCGGGCUCAACCUGGGAACGGCAUCCGGAACUGUCGAGCUAGAGUGCAGGAGAGGAAGGUAGAAUUCCCGGUGUAGCGGUGAAAUGCGUAGAGAUCGGGAGGAAUACCAGUGGCGAAGGCGGCCUUCUGGACUGACACUGACACUGAGGUGCGAAAGCGUGGGUAGCAAACAGGAUUAGAUACCCUAGUAGUC
Molecule: ribosomal RNA, 465 nt
Filed under: Vreelandella stevensii
Lineage: Bacteria; Pseudomonadati; Pseudomonadota; Gammaproteobacteria; Oceanospirillales; Halomonadaceae
Description: partial 16S ribosomal RNA
Rfam family: Bacterial small subunit ribosomal RNA
Source: RNAcentral